RNAcentral lists this ribosomal RNA (191 nucleotides) under uncultured bacterium. Its description in RNAcentral is "partial 16S ribosomal RNA". It matches the Rfam family "Bacterial small subunit ribosomal RNA", at positions 340 to 523 of the family's 1533-position model. The record is from RNAcentral.
UACGGGGGGCAGCAGUGGGGAAUUUUGGACAAUGGGGGCAACCCUGAUCCAGCAAUGCCGCGUGUGUGAAGAAGGCCUUCGGGUUGUAAAGCACUUUUGUCCGGAAAGAAAACGCCGUGGUUAAUACCCGUGGCGGAUGACGGUACCGGAAGAAUAAGCACCGGCUAACUACGUGCCAGCAGCCGCGGUAA